AGGGGUAUAACUCAGCCUGGGAGAGAGUAUUGGUCUCAUGCGCCGAAAGUCAGGAGUUCAAAUCUCCUUACCCCUA
Molecule: transfer RNA, 76 nt
Filed under: Promethearchaeota archaeon
Lineage: Archaea; Promethearchaeati; Promethearchaeota
Also listed under: 1 other name
Description: Candidatus Lokiarchaeota archaeon tRNA-Met
Rfam family: tRNA
About the family: Transfer RNA (tRNA) molecules are approximately 80 nucleotides in length. Their secondary structure includes four short double-helical elements and three loops (D, anti-codon, and T loops). Further hydrogen bonds mediate the characteristic L-shaped molecular structure. tRNAs have two regions of fundamental functional importance: the anti-codon, which is responsible for specific mRNA codon recognition, and the 3' end, to which the tRNAs corresponding amino acid is attached (by aminoacyl-tRNA synthetases). tRNAs cope with the degeneracy of the genetic code in two manners: having more than one tRNA (with a specific anti-codon) for a particular amino acid; and 'wobble' base-pairing, i.e. permitting non-standard base-pairing at the 3rd anti-codon position.
Source: RNAcentral